Molecule: long non-coding RNA, 2482 nt
Organism: Carya illinoinensis
Lineage: Eukaryota; Viridiplantae; Streptophyta; Magnoliopsida; Fagales; Juglandaceae
Exons: 3
Source: RefSeq, a predicted model, not a curated record
AAACUUAUAAAAGUAAAAUUUGUAACUAAAUUUUCUCCAAACUUUGUUGAAUCUAAACACGAUCGUUGGCAGCUAAUCCCCCAAAUUUUUUCUUAGCACCAAAUCUGCUGAACCAAACGAGCGUCUAUCCUUCCCAGUUUCAAAGAACAGUCAUUCCAAUCGAUUCAUUCUGUCUCUUCACAUCACUCUAAUAUUUUCCCCAAAUCAUUCCAUCGUUGAUUUUGUUUUGAGAAGAAGGAUUACAGACAUGGCACGUCCUUAUCAAUGGUUCGGAGGAUUGUUGAUCACAAACCUAUUGAAAUGAUUAUAGAAUAAUCUGCCUAUUGAUCUAUUCCAAAGUCGAUGUGUACGAAUUGAGGAGCUUUGUCUGUCUAUCUUCAACUAAAUCUUGAACAUUACACUGGCUAUGCUGGUCCAUCUGCAAUAAGGAUAUGGAAUGUUGUCUACUGUAAGAACUGCCCCAUAUGUGAGUUGUUCAUCUUUGUUAGUCUAUGCCAAAUAAGAGUUAACAUUAAUUUUGUUGGCUGUAAUGGAGAAUUUUAUUGUCCUUUCUUCAACCUAUUACUAUUGUUGUUAAUAGUCAAUAUAUAUAUACUCGUGUGUUGGAGUACUAUAUUGGCAUCUCCCAUAGCCUUAUAAAAGUACGAUUUGGGCUCUAAUUAUUUAACUUUUCCUUUCUCAUUAUAUUGGCAUCAUCAUGAUCUAUUUUCCACAUCUAAUGAUGGUAGAUAGCAUUGUUAAAUAUUUAGGUUAACGCAUAAGUUGGUGUGUGGUUAGUAUUGUCCACAUUGAAUUUAUGAGUAGAUUCCAAAAUUCCUCGUUAUUGUUCUUUCCAACCAUUGGGUGCUCCACAAGCUUUACUAUCAGUAGAAUGAAAAGGUAAAAAAAUAAUGUCAGCAUUGAUUUUCAUCAAUCAAAAAAUUGGCAACACAGUUAGACAAAUAAGUAUUUCGGCUCUGUUUCAAGUGAAUGAUUUUGAGGAGGAAGUAAUGAAAAUACCCAUGAUUUGUGUUGUCAAAAUAAACAUUGCUUAGUUAGGCUUCACUCAUGUUCUUGGCAUGCAACUUCUAUCAGUCUAUGCAAAAUCCACAAUAGUUUUGGGAGAAAAAGUCAAGAUAGAUGAAUUGUGCAGAGGUUUUGGAGCCCCUAUGACAGGAGGCCGGCAAGCAUGUUGCUCGUCUGAUAUAAAAGAGAGUUCUUUAUGGGAGGUUGCAACUGGGAUUUGUAUAACUGAUUUCUUGAUCUGGUGGAUUGAGUCUCUUGAUUGGCUAAAGAGGGAUGGCUUUACCUUUGAGAAAUUCUUUAAAGGGAGAGAGGCUUACAGCAAGAAGUUCUAAUACCCAGAGUACCUGUUGCAUGCAGUUGAAUGGAGAUGCUCCAGUUGUUUUGUGUGGCUGUGGUGAUUAAUGAAUUACAGUUUUGUUGGCAUUGAUGCAGAGGACAUGUGAGCAGAGUAAUCAGGAGAGACGGUUCCAAGCUGUGGAGUAUAAACAGAAAACUGUUUAAAUAACAACUUAUAGUAAUACUAACGCUGACGAAAUUUCUAUAAGAGAAAAAAGAUGAGGUACUGUCAAAAUAUUUAUUUUCUCCCUAUAACUACGGACUCAUUUGAGAACUUCCAUGAAAAAUUUGUCUACCGACUGUCAACCGACUGAUGGUUAGUACUCCGCUCAUUAUGCAACUUAUUAAAAAAAAUUUAAAAAUACACACAUAGAAAUAUAUAGUGAAUCUAGAGCUUCAAUUUUCUUUUUAUAUUUUCGAAUGGAUAUCACUGGUAGGUUGCAGCAUUUCAGAAAAAUGGAACCUCAUGAUUUACGAGUGAUGCAGGAUUUAAAUUGCUCCAUUGUACCAGUUCGUGCGAAAGUGCCGAGGAUGAUAAAGUGGACGGUGCCAGAUGUGGGUAUGUUAAAGCUGAAUGUGAAUGGUGGGUCUUGUGGUAAUCUGGGGAUGUCGGGUGGUGGAGGUGUUAUUCACGAUUCACAUGGAAGAGUCUUGGUCGGAUUUGCUCAUUUUUAUGGCCAAGCGACAAAUACAAUUGUGGAGUGUCAUGCUUUACUGGAUGGUUUACGACUGUGUCUUUCACUUGGGUUGAGGGAUUUAUUGGUGGAGUCUGAUUCUACUGUAGUGAUUGGAUGGAUGGAUGGCUUUGGGUAUUUGUAAAUAUUGGUUUUUUUGGGAUUUCUGGGAGGAAGUAAAGAUGCUUAUCCGUUUGCUUAAGGUUCGGGUUCGACAUAAUUUUAGAGAAGCUAAUAUAGUUGCGGAUUUUUUAGCUAAAGAAGGGGAGGAUUGCGGAUUUUAUGGGAGAAGAUUAUGUGCAAGGAAAACUUUGAGGUUUAGUUCGCUUGGAUAAAUUGGGGAUUCCUUGUAUUCGUUAUUGAUGUAAUUUUUUUCAUGGUUGCUCCUCCACCUCAGUGAGGGUAUUUAUAAUAAGAGGCUUAAACCUCACCUUUUUUGAAAAAAAAAAAAAGAAAAAAUGGUGCCA